GCGCCGGUGGUGUAUUGCAUAGAGCAUUCCCGCCCAGUUAGAGGGAGGUGCGGGUUCGAGUCCCGCCUGGCGCU
Non-coding RNA from Heligmosomoides polygyrus, 74 nucleotides. The record is from Rfam. NCBI's taxonomy places the organism in Eukaryota, Metazoa, Nematoda, Chromadorea, Rhabditida, Heligmosomidae.